CAGCCCUUGUAGCCUAGAAUGCCUUUCAAGUUUAUUUAGGGCCCUGGAGCACUUUAGCCUGUGGCAGUGAGGCUUGCAGGUUCUGACUGCUGGGAUUGGCGAUUUCCCUCUGGCUAGAGCUUGUUUAUAUGCUCCUUCCAUUGAUGGGCAUCAGCUGAGUUUUGUUCCAUUUUGUUUUCUGCUCUAACAGGGCAGCACUGAGUUCAAUGCCUCACAGUUGUUGCACUUUGCCUCUCUCCAGUGCACAGAAUCACUCUCCGCACCAUGCCACAGCUGCUUGGGAAUGGGGGAGGGAUGGUGUUUGUGAUUCAAGACUGUUUUUCCUACCUCUUCAAUGCCUCUUUCAGCAAUAUGAAGUUAAAACCAGACCACUUUCAUUACAUCGCCACUGCGAAUACCACCUGUACUGUGUCAAGUACAAAAAAAACUCCAGACUUGGCCCAGUCCGGAGGCACAAGCCCACUUGCGCCAGCAGCGCGCCUCAGCAAGACAGCAGAAGCAGGAAGAGAGCCGGCCGGAAGACACUUACCCUGGCCGGAAGACAUGUACCCCUGAGGAUCGCGAGAGGCCAUCCGGUUGCUGCGUAGCAGUCCCGUCAGACUGGAACACUUCCUGUUUACAGGACACUGUAAAACCCCUGCUCAGCACUCAUUUGGUGCUGACGCCAUUUUAGGUCUCAUACCGUCUGCACCCAGGCGCCCAAUAAAACAGCAUGUUGCUCCACACCACCUUGUGUUGUUUGUUGGCGCGCUCCCGGGGUUCAAACAGAUACAAGAACCUUUAAUCUGGUGCCGAAACCCAGGAGGGGCUCAGGUCUGUGUCCCCUGUGGGCCUACCCCUGCACCCCGGAGAGUAGGCCACAGCAGCCGGACAAAGGAAGCUCCUCAGUCUCCAAUCGCCUCUCUGUGCAUGCACAUCAGUCACUGAUCUUGCCUACCUGUAAGUUUCCCUGGAGCCCCAUUAACAGGGAAAAAUCCACACAGCUUCUCUUGGUUUCUCUGGCCCGAAAAUCCAACGUUGGUCCAAGAAGGCUCUGGCGUGUGCCAGGCACUCGCUGAUCAUCUGGUCUUAGGGGGUCGCCUCUAAGCCAUUUGAUCCCGUUCCAGGAACGAAAAAGGCAGCGGUGAUGACUGCUUCUUUUAUCGUCUCCCUCCAGCCAUGCAGGACGGUCUCCUUUUCCCUGUUCUCCUGAGCCUACCCUCUGUUAUGGGAAAUUCUCAGUCUUCCUUUCCAAAGGACAGCCCGCUAGGCUACCUCAUAAAAACCUGCAAACCUCAGGCCUCAGGCAAGAUAUCCGCCCUAAGCGCCUUGUCUUUUUUUCAAUUCAGUCUGGCCACAGUACCAACUAGAUAACGGGUCCAAAUGGCCCGCAAAUGGAACAUUCGACUUUACAGUUUUACCUGACUUAAGCAAUUAUUUCCGACGACUGGAGAAAUGGGGAGAGAUUCCUUAUGUCCUUCUGUCCAGGCCUUUUUGCACUCA
This 1482-nucleotide long non-coding RNA is filed under the name Homo sapiens (human). RNAcentral's name for it is "HSALNT0025454". The record is from RNAcentral. Lineage: Eukaryota; Metazoa; Chordata; Mammalia; Primates; Hominidae.